UACGUAGGGAGCAAGCGUUAUCCGGAUUUAUUGGGCGUAAAGCGUAUGUAGGCGGUUUAUUAAGCCUAAGAUUAAAGCCCGAGGCUUAACCUCGGUUCGUUUUAGAAACUGGUAGACUAGAGUGCGGUAGAGGCAAAUGGAAUUCCUAGUGUAGCGGUGGAAUGCGUAGAUAUUAGGAGGAACACCAGUGGCGAAGGCGAUUUGCUGGGCCGUUACUGACGCUGAGAUACGAAAGUGUGGGGAGCAAAUA
Molecule: ribosomal RNA, 250 nt
Filed under: uncultured prokaryote
Description: partial 16S ribosomal RNA
Rfam family: Bacterial small subunit ribosomal RNA
Source: RNAcentral